AGAUGAAGAACGUAGCGAAAUGCGAUAAGUAGUGUGAAUUGCAGAAUUCAGUGAAUCAUCGAAUCUUUGAACGCACAUUGCGCCCCUUGGUAUUCCAUGGGGCAUGCCUGUUCGAGCGUCAUCUACAACCCUCAAGCCCUGCUUGGUGUUGGGCGUCUGUCCCGCCCCCGCGCGCGGACUCGCCCCAAAUCCAUUGGCGGCGGCCCUUGCCUCCCUCUCGCGCAGCACAUUGCGCUUCUCGAGGCGUCGCGGGCCGCGCUCCACGAAGCACGCAAACCAGUCUUUGACCUCGGAUCAGGUAGGGAUACCCGCUGAACUUAAGCAUAUCAAUAAGCGGAGGA
RNAcentral lists this unclassified non-coding RNA (341 nucleotides) under soil metagenome. RNAcentral describes it as "partial contains 5.8S ribosomal RNA, internal transcribed spacer 2, and large subunit ribosomal RNA". The stretch from base 2 to 121 matches the Rfam family "5.8S ribosomal RNA", at positions 35 to 154 of the family's 154-position model. The record is from RNAcentral.